This 884-nucleotide ribosomal RNA is filed under the name Microbacterium sp. MIDB06. RNAcentral's name for it is "bacterial SSU rRNA". It matches the Rfam family "Bacterial small subunit ribosomal RNA", at positions 94 to 989 of the family's 1533-position model. Lineage: Bacteria; Bacillati; Actinomycetota; Actinomycetes; Micrococcales; Microbacteriaceae. The record is from RNAcentral.
AGUGGCGAACGGGUGAGUAACACGUGAGCAACCUGCCCCUGACUCUGGGAUAAGCGCUGGAAACGGCGUCUAAUACUGGAUAUGUACCACGAUCGCAUGGUCUGUGGUUGGAAAGAUUUUUCGGUUGGGGAUGGGCUCGCGGCCUAUCAGCUUGUUGGUGAGGUAAUGGCUCACCAAGGCGUCGACGGGUAGCCGGCCUGAGAGGGUGACCGGCCACACUGGGACUGAGACACGGCCCAGACUCCUACGGGAGGCAGCAGUGGGGAAUAUUGCACAAUGGGCGCAAGCCUGAUGCAGCAACGCCGCGUGAGGGAUGACGGCCUUCGGGUUGUAAACCUCUUUUAGCAGGGAAGAAGCGAAAGUGACGGUACCUGCAGAAAAAGCGCCGGCUAACUACGUGCCAGCAGCCGCGGUAAUACGUAGGGCGCAAGCGUUAUCCGGAAUUAUUGGGCGUAAAGAGCUCGUAGGCGGUUUGUCGCGUCUGCUGUGAAAUCCGGAGGCUCAACCUCCGGCCUGCAGUGGGUACGGGCAGACUAGAGUGCGGUAGGGGAGAUUGGAAUUCCUGGUGUAGCGGUGGAAUGCGCAGAUAUCAGGAGGAACACCGAUGGCGAAGGCAGAUCUCUGGGCCGUAACUGACGCUGAGGAGCGAAAGGGUGGGGAGCAAACAGGCUUAGAUACCCUGGUAGUCCACCCCGUAAACGUUGGGAACUAGUUGUGGGGUCCAUUCCACGGAUUCCGUGACGCAGCUAACGCAUUAAGUUCCCCGCCUGGGGAGUACGGCCGCAAGGCUAAAACUCAAAGGAAUUGACGGGGACCCGCACAAGCGGCGGANCAUGCGGAUUAAUUCGAUGCAACGCGAAGAACCUUACCAAGGCUUGACAUAU